RNAcentral lists this ribosomal RNA (340 nucleotides) under uncultured bacterium. RNAcentral's name for it is "bacterial SSU rRNA". It matches the Rfam family "Bacterial small subunit ribosomal RNA", at positions 136 to 507 of the family's 1533-position model. The record is from RNAcentral.
GUGGGGAAUAACUUCGGGAAACCGAGGCUAAUACCGCAUAAUACCCACGGGUCAAAGGAGCAAUUCGCUUGAGGAGGAGGUCGCGGCCGAUUAGUUAGUUGGCGGGGUAAUGGCCCCACCAAGACGGUGAUCGGUAUCCGGCCUGAGAGGGCGCACGGACACACUGGAACUGAAACACGGUCCAGACUCCUACGGGAGGCAGCAGUGGGGAAUUUUGCGCAAUGGGGGAAACCCUGACGCAGCAACGCCGCGUGGAGGAUGAAGUCUCUUGGGACGUAAACUCCUUUCGAUCGGGACGAUUAUGACGGUACCGGAAGAAGAAGCCCCGGCUAACUUCGUG